Non-coding RNA from Acanthosepion pharaonis, 99 nucleotides. Lineage: Eukaryota; Metazoa; Mollusca; Cephalopoda; Sepiida; Sepiidae. The record is from the annotation of a GenBank genome assembly.
CGUUCAAACACCUGUUUCCAUAUGAUCACCAAAGUUAAGCAACAUCGAGCCUGGUUAGUACCGAGAUGGGUGACUUAUGGUGAAUAGCAUGUGCUGUAU